Molecule: ribosomal RNA, 689 nt
Filed under: uncultured Lachnospiraceae bacterium
Lineage: Bacteria; Bacillati; Bacillota; Clostridia; Lachnospirales; Lachnospiraceae
Description: bacterial SSU rRNA
Rfam family: Bacterial small subunit ribosomal RNA
Source: RNAcentral
UGAACGCUGGCGGCGUGCUUAACACAUGCAAGUCGAACGGGAAAUACUUCAUUGAGACUUCGGUGGAUUUGAUCUAUUUCUAGUGGCGGACGGGUGAGUAACGCGUGGGUAACCUGCCUUAUACAGGGGGAUAACAGUCAGAAAUGACUGCUAAUACCGCAUAAGCGCACAGGGCCGCAUGGCCCGGUGUGAAAAACUCCGGUGGUAUAAGAUGGACCCGCGUUGGAUUAGCUGGUUGGUGGGGUAACGGCCCACCAAGGCGACGAUCCAUAGCCGGCCUGAGAGGGUGAACGGCCACAUUGGGACUGAGACACGGCCCAGACUCCUACGGGAGGCAGCAGUGGGGAAUAUUGCACAAUGGGGGAAACCCUGAUGCAGCGACGCCGCGUGAAGGAAGAAGUAUCUCGGUAUGUAAACUUCUAUCAGCAGGGAAGAUAGUGACGGUACCUGACUAAGAAGCCCCGGCUAACUACGUGCCAGCAGCCGCGGUAAUACGUAGGGGGCAAGCGUUAUCCGGAUUUACUGGGUGUAAAGGGAGCGUAGACGGUGUGGCAAGUCUGAUGUGAAAGGCAUGGGCUCAACCUGUGGACUGCAUUGGAAACUGUCAUACUUGAGUGCCGGAGGGGUAAGCGGAAUUCCUAGUGUAGCGGUGAAAUGCGUAGAUAUUAGGAGGAACACCAGUGGCGAAG